RNAcentral lists this ribosomal RNA (478 nucleotides) under uncultured bacterium. RNAcentral's name for it is "partial 16S ribosomal RNA". It matches the Rfam family "Bacterial small subunit ribosomal RNA", at positions 70 to 528 of the family's 1533-position model. The record is from RNAcentral.
CCGGGAAGGCCCUAGCCCUUACUAUGAGUGGCGACGGGUGAAUACACGUGAGUGACCUGCCUCUACGGGGGGGAUAACGUCCAAAAAGGGACACUAAUACCGCAUAACAUCCUGCUUUUGAAAAGGUGGAGAUCAAAGCUGGGGAUCGCAAGACCUGGCGUUUGAAGAGGGGCCCGCGCCUGAUUAGCUAGUUGGGGGGGUAACGGCCCACCAAGGCACCGAUCAGAUCCGGCCUGGAAGGGCGGACGGCACCCUGGAACUGAAACACGGCCCAGACUCCUACGGGGGGAAGCAUGGGGGAAUUGUUCCCAAGGGGCGCAAGCCUGACGACCCACCCCCCCGGGGAGGAUAAAGACCUUCGGUUUGUAAACUCCUUUCGACCGGAAAAAAAACUUUCCGCGUAAAAAAUCCGGGGGAGUGACGGCCCCGAAAGAAAAACCCCCGACUAACUCCGCGCCAACACCCGCAAAUAAUAAGA